RNAcentral lists this ribosomal RNA (429 nucleotides) under Acidobacteriota bacterium. RNAcentral's name for it is "Acidobacteria bacterium partial 16S ribosomal RNA". It matches the Rfam family "Bacterial small subunit ribosomal RNA", at positions 355 to 776 of the family's 1533-position model. The record is from RNAcentral. Lineage: Bacteria; Pseudomonadati; Acidobacteriota.
UGGGGAAUUUUGGACAAUGGGGGAAACCCUGAUCCAGCCAUCCCGCGUGUGCGAUGAAGGCCUUCGGGUUGUAAAGCACUUUUGGCAGGAAAGAAACGUCAUGGGUUAAUACCCCGUGAAACUGACGGUACCUGCAGAAUAAGCACCGGCUAACUACGUGCCAGCAGCCGCGGUAAUACGUAGGGUGCAAGCGUUAAUCGGAAUUACUGGGCGUAAAGCGUGCGCAUGCGGUUCGGAAAGAAAGAUGUGAAAUCCCAGAGCUCAACUUUGGAACUGCCUUUUUAACUACCGGGCUAGAGUGUGUCAGAGGGAGGUGGAAUUCCGCGUGUAGCAGUGAAAUGCGUAGAUAUGCGGAGGAACAACGAUGGCGAAGGCAGCCUCCUGGGAUAACACUGACGCUCAUGCACGAAAGCGUGGGGAGCAAACAGG